Molecule: transfer RNA, 67 nt
Filed under: Mycocepurus castrator
Lineage: Eukaryota; Metazoa; Arthropoda; Insecta; Hymenoptera; Formicidae
Description: tRNA-Leu
Source: RNAcentral
UUUAAUAUAGCAAAAUUAGUGCAUUGAAUUUAAAUUUCAAAUAUAAAGUAAGCAUCUUUUAUUAAAA